UCAGRUUGAACGCUGGCGGCAGGCCUAACACAUGCAAGUCGAGCGGUAGAGAGAAGCUUGCUUCUCUUGAGAGCGGCGGACGGGUGAGUAAUGCCUAGGAAUCUGCCUGGUAGUGGGGGAUAACGCUCGGAAACGGACGCUAAUACCGCAUACGUCCUACGGGAGAAAGCAGGGGACCUUCGGGCCUUGCGCUAUCAGAUGAGCCUAGGUCGGAUUAGCUAGUUGGUGAGGUAAUGGCUCACCAAGGCGACGAUCCGUAACUGGUCUGAGAGGAUGAUCAGUCACACUGGAACUGAGACACGGUCCAGACUCCUACGGGAGGCAGCAGUGGGGAAUAUUGGACAAUGGGCGAAAGCCUGAUCCAGCCAUGCCGCGUGUGUGAAGAAGGUCUUCGGAUUGUAAAGCACUUUAAGUUGGGAGGAAGGGUUGUAGAUUAAUACUCUGCAAUUUUGACGUUACCGACAGAAUAAGCACCGGCUAACUCU
This 485-nucleotide ribosomal RNA is filed under the name Pseudomonas sp. Its description in RNAcentral is "bacterial SSU rRNA". The record is from RNAcentral. Lineage: Bacteria; Pseudomonadati; Pseudomonadota; Gammaproteobacteria; Pseudomonadales; Pseudomonadaceae.